AGCGAACGCUGGCGGCAGGCUUAACACAUGCAAGUCGAGCGGGCAUCUUCGGAUGUCAGCGGCAGACGGGUGAGUAACACGUGGGAACGUACCCUUCGGUUCGGAACAACUCUGGGAAACUGGAGCUAAUACCGGAUACGCCCUUAUGGGGAAAGGUUUACUGCCGAAGGAUCGGCCCGCGUCUGAUUAGCUAGUUGGUGGGGUAACGGCCUACCAAGGCGACGACCAGUAGCUGGUCUGAGAGGAUGAUCAGCCACACUGGGACUGAGACACGGCCCAGACUCCUACGGGAGGCAGCAGUGGGGAAUAUUGGACAAUGGGCGCAAGCCUGAUCCAGCCAUGCCGCGUGAGUGAUGAAGGCCUUAGGGUUGUAAAGCUCUUUUGUCCGGGACGAUAAUGACGGUACCGGAAGAAUAAGCCCCGGCUAACUUCGUG
This 435-nucleotide ribosomal RNA is filed under the name uncultured bacterium. RNAcentral's name for it is "partial 16S ribosomal RNA". It matches the Rfam family "Bacterial small subunit ribosomal RNA", at positions 29 to 507 of the family's 1533-position model. The record is from RNAcentral.